Molecule: long non-coding RNA, 347 nt
Filed under: Olea europaea (common olive)
Lineage: Eukaryota; Viridiplantae; Streptophyta; Magnoliopsida; Lamiales; Oleaceae
Description: long non-coding RNA (OEUR_LNC006202)
Source: RNAcentral
UCAAUUAUAAAAUAAAACCCAAUAAAAUAAUUUAUUCCAUUUAAGUCCCUAAUUAACUUGACUUUGACCAGUCGAACCUUUGACUUUGAAUAAAUAAUAUUAACCUUUGACUAGUAAAAAUUGGAGGUGUAACAUAGCGUCUUAAGACUCCUCAAUAAAUACUUCAACUCCAAUCUUAUUGAGGGACUUGUUUUUGGUCUAAACCAAAAUGACUAAUGCUACUUAUUCUAAUCAUUCUACAACUAUUUUCCUCUCCUCACACUCCUUUUUGCCUCUACUUUGUUAUGGCUGAGGCUCGUCAUUCGUUUUCUCCUUUAAUCUCAUCAAUCUUCUUCAAUUCUAACCAU